Molecule: transfer RNA, 76 nt
Filed under: Bacillota bacterium
Lineage: Bacteria; Bacillati; Bacillota
Also listed under: 3 other names
Description: Firmicutes bacterium (hot springs metagenome) tRNA-Trp
Rfam family: tRNA
About the family: Transfer RNA (tRNA) molecules are approximately 80 nucleotides in length. Their secondary structure includes four short double-helical elements and three loops (D, anti-codon, and T loops).
Source: RNAcentral
AGGCCCGUAGCUCAAUUGGCAGAGCGCCGGUCUCCAAAACCGGAGGCUGUCGGUUCGAUUCCGGCCGGGCCUGCCA